Molecule: long non-coding RNA, 1492 nt
Organism: Canis lupus familiaris (dog)
Lineage: Eukaryota; Metazoa; Chordata; Mammalia; Carnivora; Canidae
Exons: 3
Source: RefSeq, a predicted model, not a curated record
GUGGGCUCCGAGGUAGGGAGGUUGCGUGUUGAGAAGGGAUCAGUCCCUUUAAGCAAGAUGCCGUGCUUGGUGGCCUGUGCGGUCCUACCCGGAUCAGAUACCCUGGCAUGGACACUUACUUGCCCAGAAGUGUCCCGUGGCAGAAUCAGGUCCUUUAUUGCCUCACUUCAGACCCAGGCCUCUUAACCUGUUUUUCUGGGCAAACCUUCUGGUGACCCUAACAGGGAUUCGCCAUGCUCAGUGCGCUGACCAGAAGUAGAAAAAUAGGGAUAACUGGGUGGUACACCUUACUCAGAGCUCUUGAAGACGCUGACCAAUGGGGAAGCUAUUCGUAUUCAGGUCUGAGAGUGUGAAGCAGUAAGGCAAGUGGCCCAGCAAGCAGGUCAGAGGUCAGUCAGAGGUCAAUCAGGCACCUGAAACCUGUGAAUCCAAGUGAGCAUCUCUCUGCCUCUGUAGUAGAUUGUCACAGCCGUAGCCGUCCCCCCACCCCAUGAACUACCCCUUAGUAUUCACUCCUUGGGAAGUCCCCUCCCCUUGAUACUACAGUGGCAUUGUGACUGGCCUUUGCCAAUAAGAUAGAGUGGAAGUACAUUGUGCCAGUUGCAGCCCUAAGCCUUAAGAAGCUACGCAGGUUUGGCACUCGGGGCAGCCUGGUGCCACCAUGUAGAGGUUCAGCUACCCUGACGUGAAAAGUCCCUUGCAGAGGCCACGGCAGAAAGGGGGAACCCCAGCCUCCAACUGACCCACUGCCUGAAUGCAGCCACAGGAUCAUAAGUAAGACCAGCAGAAGAACCGCCCAGCUGAUCCCAGCAGAGUGCAGCGUGGGUGACUAGUCAUCUCAGAUUGCCUGAGAAUGAAGGUGUUUCCCGGACACAGGACUUCCAGUCCUAAAGCCAGAAAAGUCCUGGGCAAACCUGGAUGAGUCGUUCACCCUUCUUCCAACAUCCCAAGUAAAUAGGAGUUUACUUCAGAGGGAGCGUCACCUGUCCCUUAACCUUACCCAUAUUUAUAAAGAAAGGAGAAGAGAUACAGACACUCACAGAGGUCAUGUGCAGACAGACAGAGGGAAGAUGGAAGCAGAGAUUGAAAUAAUGCAGCCACACGCCAGAAACACGGAGGACCACCAGCAAAAUCACAGAAGCCUGGAGAUGGAGCUUGGCCCCAUUCACACCUUGGUGGUGGACUUCUAGCCUCCAGAACAAGAGAACACAUUUCUGUGGAUUCAGACCACCCAGAUUGUGUUUCUUUUGUAGGGCAGGCCUAGAAAACGAAUACAGGAUCCAACCUUUUGCUUCCUACCAGAGAGCAUCUGGGAAAAAUUUAUCCCCCAGUCCACAAAACUGACAAACAGAUUUCCAAAGACAAGAUUUUCAUUAGCUCCAACAGUCUGUUCAUCUGUUGCUUUCUUCUGAAACAAUGUAUUUUUAUAAGCAUAUGAUUUGUCCUUAUUUUCUGUCUGAAUUUAGUAGAAAAAAACAGGAGCUUUUGAGGG